AUGUUGGCUCCUCUCGGGCCCCGCGGUUGAGCCGCGUCCCCCUCCCCCUUCCCGGACCCUGGACCCCAGACCCCCUCCCCAGCGGGCGUCUCCACCCCUUCUGGCGCCCGGAGCGCGGCCAUGUGAACCGCUUGUACCCCGGGGAGAGACGAGCCCCGAGCCCGGCUGGACGCCGCUGCCUCAGGUUUGAAUGGGGAUGUGAAUGUUAAUGGCUUAUCUACUGUAUCUCACACUACUACUUCAGGGAUUUUGAACUCUGCUCCCCACUCCUCCAGCACCUCACACCUCCAUCACCCCAGCGUGGCCUACGACUGUCUCUGGAACUACUCACAGUACCCAUCUGCCAAUCCUGGCAGCAACCUCAAGGACCCACCCCUUCUCUCCCAGUUCUCGGGGGGACAAUACCCACUCAACGGCAUCCUUGGGGGCAGCCGGCAACCUUCAUCCCCAAGUCAUAACACUAACCUUCGGGCUGGGAGCCAA
RNAcentral lists this small RNA (483 nucleotides) under Pan troglodytes (chimpanzee). RNAcentral's name for it is "processed transcript". Lineage: Eukaryota; Metazoa; Chordata; Mammalia; Primates; Hominidae. The record is from RNAcentral.